GCCUUCGUGGACCAUGGUGAUCGCCUCGCUUGCAUAUAGUGUAUGUGGAUGACAUGGAACGAGGGAAAGGAGGUUCGAUUCCUCCCGAAGGCA
Mycena epipterygia is the source of this 93-nucleotide non-coding RNA. The record is from the annotation of a GenBank genome assembly. Lineage: Eukaryota; Fungi; Basidiomycota; Agaricomycetes; Agaricales; Mycenaceae.